Molecule: ribosomal RNA, 253 nt
Filed under: uncultured bacterium
Lineage: Bacteria
Description: partial 16S ribosomal RNA
Rfam family: Bacterial small subunit ribosomal RNA
Source: RNAcentral
UACGUAGGGUGCAGGCGUUAAUCGGAAUUACUGGGCGUAAAGCGUGCGCAGGCGGUCUUUUAAGUCAGAUGUGAAAUCCCCGGGCUUAACCUGGGAACUGCGUCUGAUACUGGAAGGCUCGAGUUUGGGAGAGGGAUGUGGAAUUCCAGGUGUAGCGGUGAAAUGCGUAGAUAUCUGGAGGAACACCGGUGGCGAAGGCGGCAUCCUGGACCAACACUGACGUUCAGGCACGAAAGCGUGGGGAGCAAACAGG